AUUGGCACUUUUGGAAUUGUCACCAGGCUCGACGUAUCGGGGUGUGUGUGUGUGUUGCGUGACAAUCUGAAAGUGUCGAACA
RNAcentral lists this microRNA precursor (82 nucleotides) under Mesocestoides corti. Its description in RNAcentral is "microRNA mco-mir-96 precursor". Its record names the gene mco-mir-96. The record is from miRBase by way of RNAcentral. Lineage: Eukaryota; Metazoa; Platyhelminthes; Cestoda; Cyclophyllidea; Mesocestoididae.